UACGAAGGGGGCUAGCGUUGCUCGGAAUCACUGGGCGUAAAGCGCACGUAGGCGGAUUGUUAAGUCAGGGGUGAAAUCCUGGAGCUCAACUCCAGAACUGCCUUUGAUACUGACGAUCUCGAGUCCGGGAGAGGUGAGUGGAACUGCGAGUGUAGAGGUGAAAUUCGUAGAUAUUCGCAAGAACACCAGUGGCGAAGGCGGCUCACUGGCCCGGUACUGCCGCUGAGGUGCGAAAGCGUGGGGAGCAAACAGG
This 253-nucleotide ribosomal RNA is filed under the name uncultured bacterium. RNAcentral describes it as "partial 16S ribosomal RNA". It matches the Rfam family "Bacterial small subunit ribosomal RNA", at positions 524 to 776 of the family's 1533-position model. The record is from RNAcentral.